Molecule: long non-coding RNA, 397 nt
Organism: Gigantopelta aegis
Lineage: Eukaryota; Metazoa; Mollusca; Gastropoda; Neomphalida; Peltospiridae
Exons: 4
Source: RefSeq, a predicted model, not a curated record
AGAGCAUUCAAAGCUGCAGUGCAUUGUCAUAAUUUGUCAUCAUGAAGAUGUUCUUUGUUAUUAGUGUGUUCUGCCUUGUUAUCAUGGCACUGGUGAACGAAGGAAGAAGCACCGAGUGCACGAGGUUUUGGCACAUAUGUGACCUAGGUCACCCCUGUUGUUCAGGAUUCGUCUGUGAGAAACAGCGUCGUUUCCGCACACUUCACUUAUGUGUACCGAUUGAAACAGAUACUGGCUAUUGGAAAUAAUGAUUGCUGCAGUAGGUUGUGCAGAAUUCCAACAGAAAAAAGUCAGUAAUUAAUAACAUGGGAUUACCUCACCAUCAGCUAUUCUGUCAAUCAAAAAUGUUACACUAUAUUCGUAAUUACUUCACUAAAUAAAUUAUACUUUGAAAAUC